GUAUCAUUUCACAACAUUUUCCUUCAAUCACUCCUUCAAAGAGUCGAGUUGUUUGGGAAUGCAGCUCAAAACGGGACGUAAAUUUGUUCCAAAGCUAAAUACCGGCUAGAGACCGAUAGCGCACAAGUAGAGUGAUCGAAAGAUGAAAAGCACUUUGAAAAGAGAGUUAAACAGCACGUGAAAUUGUUGAAAGGGAAGCUUAUGUCAUCAGAAAUGACGUCAAUGUUCAACCUUAUGGUCAAUUCAUUGACGUCAUGUUAGCAUCAAUUGAGAUAACGGGAUAAAAGUGUCGGGAAUGUAGUUUUCUCCGGAAAAUCUUAUAGCCUGAUAUAGAAUGUCGCUAAUCUCGAUUGAGGACC
RNAcentral lists this ribosomal RNA (359 nucleotides) under Astrothelium scoria. Its description in RNAcentral is "eukaryotic LSU rRNA". It matches the Rfam family "Eukaryotic large subunit ribosomal RNA", at positions 223 to 597 of the family's 3401-position model. The record is from RNAcentral. Lineage: Eukaryota; Fungi; Ascomycota; Dothideomycetes; Trypetheliales; Trypetheliaceae.